This 497-nucleotide ribosomal RNA is filed under the name uncultured bacterium. RNAcentral's name for it is "partial 16S ribosomal RNA". It matches the Rfam family "Bacterial small subunit ribosomal RNA", at positions 28 to 507 of the family's 1533-position model. The record is from RNAcentral.
GAUGAACGCUGGCGGCGUGCCUAAUACAUGCAAGUCGAGCGAACGGACGAGAAGCUUGCUUUUCUGAUGUUAGCGGCGGACGGGUGAGUAACACGUGGAUAACCUACCUAUAAGACUGGGAUAACUUCGGGAAACCGGAGCUAAUACCGGAUAAUAUUUUGAACCGCAUGGUUCAAAAGUGAAAGACGGUCUUGCUGUCACUUAUAGAUGGAUCCGCGCUGCAUUAGCUAGUUGGUAAGGUAACGGCUUACCAAGGCAACGAUGCAUAGCCGACCUGAGAGGGUGAUCGGCCACACUGGAAAUGAGACACGGUCCAGACUCCUACGGGAGGCAGCAGUAGGGAAUCUUCCGCAAUGGGCGAAAGCCUGACGGAGCAACGCCGCGUGAGUGAUGAAGGUCUUCGGAUCGUAAAACUCUGUUAUUAGGGAAGAACAUAUGUGUAAGUAACUGUGCACAUCUUGACGGUACCUAAUCAGAAAGCCACGGCUAACUACGUG